This 465-nucleotide ribosomal RNA is filed under the name uncultured bacterium. Its description in RNAcentral is "partial 16S ribosomal RNA". It matches the Rfam family "Bacterial small subunit ribosomal RNA", at positions 28 to 507 of the family's 1533-position model. The record is from RNAcentral.
GAUGAACGCUGGCGGCGUGCCUAACACAUGCAAGUCGAGCGGAGAAUUGUUGCUUGCAGCAAUUCUUAGCGGCGGACGGGUGAGUAACACGUGGGUAACCUGCCCUAAACAAAGGGAUAACAAUGAGAAAUCAUUGCUAAUACCGUAUAAGCUUACACUAUCGCAUGAUAGAGUAAGAAAAGAUUUAUCGGUUUAGGAGGGGCCCGCGUCUGAUUAGCUAGUUGGAGAGGUAACGGCUCACCAAGGCGACGAUCAGUAGCCGACCUGAGAGGGUGAUCGGACACAGGGGGACUGAGACACGGCCCAAACUCCCACGGGAGGCAGCAGUGGGGAAUAUUGCACAAUGGAGGAAACUCUGAUGCAGCAACGCCGCGUGAAGGAAGAAGGUUUUCGGAUCGUAAACUUCUAUCUACAGGGAAGAAAAAAAUGACGGUACCUGAGUAAGAAGCCCCGGCUAACUACGUG